AGUGAACGCUGGCGGUAGGCCUAACACAUGCAAGUCGAACGGCAGCACAGUAAGAGCUUGCUCUUACGGGUGGCGAGUGGCGGACGAGAGAGGAAUACAUCGGAAUCUACUUUUUCGUGGGGGAUAACGUAGGGAAACUUACGCUAAUACCGCAUACGACCUACGGGUGAAAGCAGGGGAUCUUCGGACCUUGCGCGAUUGAAUGAGCCGAUGUCGGAUUAGCUAGUUGGCGGGGUAAUGGCCCACCAAGGCGACGAUCCGUAGCUGGUCUGAGAGGAUGAUCAGCCACACUGGAACUGAGACACGGUCCAGACUCCUACGGGAGGCAGCAGAGGGGAAUAUGGGACAAUGGGCGCGAGCCUGAUCCAGCCAUACCGCGUGGGUGAAGAAGGCCUUCGGGGUGUAAAGCCCGUCUGUUGGGAAAGAAAAGCAGCAGGUUAAUACCACGCUGUCCUGACGGUACCCAAAGAAUAAGCACCGGCUAACUUCGUG
RNAcentral lists this ribosomal RNA (492 nucleotides) under uncultured bacterium. RNAcentral describes it as "partial 16S ribosomal RNA". It matches the Rfam family "Bacterial small subunit ribosomal RNA", at positions 29 to 507 of the family's 1533-position model. The record is from RNAcentral.